Molecule: transfer RNA, 107 nt
Filed under: Hortaea werneckii
Lineage: Eukaryota; Fungi; Ascomycota; Dothideomycetes; Mycosphaerellales; Teratosphaeriaceae
Also listed under: 1 other name
Description: tRNA-Leu
Rfam family: tRNA
About the family: Transfer RNA (tRNA) molecules are approximately 80 nucleotides in length. Their secondary structure includes four short double-helical elements and three loops (D, anti-codon, and T loops).
Source: RNAcentral
GGUGAGGUGGCCGAGUGGUCUAAGGCGCUAGCUUAAGGUAUUCUUUCUCGGUAUUAAAUACUGAUCGCUAGUUCGAAAGAGCGCGAGUUCGAAUCUCGCCCUCAUCA